CAACAGUACCUAAAGCCCUUUUGAUGUGCUUUCUAUUUACACUUUUUAUUAAUACUAGUCUUCCAGUAUUCAGAGUUUAUUUCAAUUUUUUUUUUUUUCAAGUAAAGGAAGAACAUAUAAGGGUGGUCUUCACAGAUAUUACUUCUGAGUCAUGGGUGAGGUGAAUCCACCAUCUCAUCUUUGCCAGAACUGUGAUUACAUGAU
Molecule: long non-coding RNA, 204 nt
Filed under: Bos taurus (domestic cattle)
Lineage: Eukaryota; Metazoa; Chordata; Mammalia; Artiodactyla; Bovidae
Description: long non-coding RNA NONBTAT018671
Source: RNAcentral